UACGGGGGGGGCAAGCGUUGUUCGGAAUUACUGGGCGUAAAGGGCUCGUAGGUGGCCAACUAAGUCAGACGUGAAAUCCCUCGGCUUAACCGGGGAACUGCGUCUGAUACUGGAUGGCUUGAGUUCGGCAGGGGAGACUGGAAUUCCUGGUGUAGCGGUGAAAUGCGUAGAGAUCGGGAGGAACACCAGAGGCGAAGGCGGCGACCUGGACAGGUACUGACACUCAACUACGAAAGCGUGGGGAGCAAACAGG
This 253-nucleotide ribosomal RNA is filed under the name uncultured bacterium. Its description in RNAcentral is "partial 16S ribosomal RNA". It matches the Rfam family "Bacterial small subunit ribosomal RNA", at positions 524 to 776 of the family's 1533-position model. The record is from RNAcentral.